UCAGCGGGUACCCCUACCUGAUCCGAGGUCAAUCUAGAGAUGUGGUGAAGUCUGAAUAGGCUCAACAAUGUAACUUUGCAAUGUUUCUACGAUGCAGGCUCCACAGUUGGACCACCAGACGGUCGCUUAUAGGGACGUCCGGCAAGACGAUCCCCAACGUCAGCACUUAGCUGUUCGUUCGAAAUGACGCUCGGGCAGGCAUACUUGGGCGGUAACCCAAGUGCAAUGUGCGUUCAAAGAUUCAAUGAUUCACUAGAUUCUGCAAUUCACAUUACUUAUCGCAUUUUGCUGCGUUCUUCAUCGAUGCGGUAACCA
Molecule: unclassified non-coding RNA, 315 nt
Filed under: uncultured fungus
Lineage: Eukaryota; Fungi
Description: partial contains 5.8S ribosomal RNA and internal transcribed spacer 2
Source: RNAcentral